Long non-coding RNA from Nannospalax galili (Upper Galilee mountains blind mole rat), 509 nucleotides. RefSeq lists it as uncharacterized. The transcript is spliced from 2 exons. The record is from RefSeq and is a predicted model, not a curated record. Lineage: Eukaryota; Metazoa; Chordata; Mammalia; Rodentia; Spalacidae.
AUAAUACAUAUUUUUUAAAAGACUACAGGUGAAUUGGUGAAGGGCGAGGAGAAGGUGCAUUCUAAGUAGACUCUCUGAGAAGGUGGCAUCAGCUCAAGGCUUGAAAGAGAAGGGAGUGCCCACUCCACAGCGAGUGCAAGAGAAACCGGCCGCGUAUGGGAAAGACAGGAAGGGGGUGCAAGGGGGUGCACGGCCAGCACAGUGAGGAAGACAGAGGAGAGUCGACCUCGAAUUUGUGACAUGGGAACACACCACUGUUAGUAUGGCAAAGAAUUAUGACUCUCUAGCACUCAGAAAGGAGCACCAAGGCCUUGAGCUAGACCCAGCAAGACAGCGUGAGGGAGAAGACUGAAAAAGAAAGAAAAUCCCAUUUAUCUUAAGACAGGGAACAUUGAACUCUCCUUGAUUUAUCACAAAGAUGGCAGGAUUCUAGUCAAAGAUUUUGUUACUACAAGACCCAAGAUUUAAAGGGUUAGGGGUCAGGUGAAUAAAAACCAAAGUCUGAACUC